This is a non-coding RNA of Schizosaccharomyces pombe (fission yeast), 457 nucleotides long. Lineage: Eukaryota; Fungi; Ascomycota; Schizosaccharomycetes; Schizosaccharomycetales; Schizosaccharomycetaceae. The record is from the annotation of a GenBank genome assembly.
AAAAUUUUUUUAUCUAAAAAAUGAGAAGGAAAUAAAGAAAAAUAAAGAAGAAGCAUAGAAUGAAAUGAACCACACUUUUAUUGUUGUUAAAUUACUUACAAAGAAAAAAUGUCGUGCGCGUUAUAUAUUGCAAUCGUUUGUGGACUACUGGAAUCCUUUUGAAUUAAUUCAAUUGUAGGCAUAACUUUUUUAAUGGUUUAUAUAAAUACGUAAAAGUGUUUAAAUGAAAGAUUGAUGAUGCUGCUUUUCAUGCACCGCGUCGAAACGCCUGACCAUUUAACAAUCACAAGUCAACAGUAUGAUUUCAAGAAGCACUUUAACAAUUUACCAAAAUACUUAUUUUAAAAUUGAAUAUAAUAUUACUGAUCUGGAACGUUGCAGGACACUAGGUGGUUGAUUUGUUUACAGUUCGUGAACCACCUUUAUAUAAUUAUAAAAUUUAUCCUUUGCCCCAAAA